CUAGCUUGCUAGGUGGAUUAGUGGCGCACGGGUGAGUAACGCAUAGAUGACAUGCCCUUUAGUUUGGGAUAGCCACUAGAAAUGGUGAUUAAUACCAAAUACUACCCUACGGGGGAAAGAUUUAUCGCUAAAGGAUUGGUCUAUGUCCUAUCAGCUUGUUGGUGAGGUAAAGGCUCACCAAGGCGAUGACGGGUAUCCGGCCUGAGAGGGUGAACGGACACACUGGAACUGAGACACGGUCCAGACUCCUACGGGAGGCAGCAGUAGGGAAUAUUGCUCAAUGGGCGCAAGCCUGAAGCAGCAACGCCGCGUGGAGGAUGAAGGUUUUAGGAUUGUAAACUCCUUUUGUCAGAGAAGAUAAUGACGGUAUCUCACGAAUAAGCACA
RNAcentral lists this ribosomal RNA (386 nucleotides) under uncultured Helicobacter sp. RNAcentral's name for it is "bacterial SSU rRNA". It matches the Rfam family "Bacterial small subunit ribosomal RNA", at positions 75 to 494 of the family's 1533-position model. The record is from RNAcentral. Lineage: Bacteria; Pseudomonadati; Campylobacterota; Epsilonproteobacteria; Campylobacterales; Helicobacteraceae.